UGCCAACUACAAGCAUCUCUCUGCAAAUCCUGAAUGUCAUGUUAUCAUUUUCUCGGCUGACUUUAACCUCCAUAUUCUGUCACAGCAACUACCGGUAUAGUCCCAAAACAUGCAGGCAGGGUUAAGAAACUUAGGCAAAACAGGUAGAAGUUGUCAGACAGCUCAGGAAGAAAAAAAGAAAAGAAAAUCAAGGAGAAAUGAGAGUCAGCAACAAGAAAUGAAAUAGAAAUGUUUCCAUUUCAGAGCAGUCCUACACAGAGUUCCAGUGUUUUCUUCCUGUGAUAAAGAAGAUGGCUGACUAAUUUUAGGAUCAGGGUCGGGUGAAAGAUCAUCUAUCUACUUGAUAAUGAAGCAACAAUGCAGCAAAACAGCAAGUUCUGCAAUGAAAUAGGAGCCUACAUUUGUGAGAUAAGGAUGUGACUACACUGACAGCAGCUUCACUUGCUAACCUCAGGAAUAUACUGAUAGAAAAGGCAGAAUAAAUGCAGUUUGGAUAUUGAUUCAGCUCAAAGCAUGCCCUAACCAGAAAGGAUUGUCACGUACAGUAAUGGUUCUGCCGGAAUGUAUUUUAAACAACUGCUGAAAAAAGACUCAUCUCUUCAUUCAUGAUUUUUUGUGAACAUUAAGAAAAUCUGUGCUCUUCCCUAUUUAUGAGAAGCAGCAGAAACAGAAUACUGUUCAUUAAGAGGAUGAUCUAGCACAGGAACUGAUGUCCCAUUUGAGUUACUAAGAAAUUUUGUAUCUUGUCACAGUUUUUCAAUGGAAAUAAGUUCAAGAUGACAAACUGAAUGUGACUAAGGUAUUGGCUGAUUAUUUAGUAAAAUAGCUACAAAUAC
This is a non-coding RNA of Pantherophis guttatus, 836 nucleotides long. NCBI's taxonomy places the organism in Eukaryota, Metazoa, Chordata, Lepidosauria, Squamata, Colubridae. The record is from RefSeq and is a predicted model, not a curated record.